Molecule: long non-coding RNA, 1732 nt
Organism: Oenanthe melanoleuca
Lineage: Eukaryota; Metazoa; Chordata; Aves; Passeriformes; Muscicapidae
Exons: 3
Source: RefSeq, a predicted model, not a curated record
AAACAAAACAAAAAACAGUGGAAAAACUGAGUCAUAUUCUACCAGAGUAAGAAAGGCUGAGCACCAUAUGACUGGAAUCAGGAUAAUAAAAGACAGGGGAGGAAGAAGCACAAGCCUUCCCCUUUUGGCGUGGAGGAGCUGUUAACAUUGACAGCUGCUUGUGAAACCGCAGCCUUAGGGUGGGCUACAUAGUUACAGGAUUGAGCCCAUGAUCCCAAACUCAAUCCCAGCAGCAAAUCUUGCAGCCCCCUUUGACAUGCAGACACGCUCCCAGCCUGCCCUGCCGUUUAUCAGACGUCUCAUCUGAGCAAGGAAGUGGUGACAGACAACCAAAAGGCAGGAGCUGCUUCAUCUUUCACAGGUAAUUAACCUUGGGGGCACUGCUCGAGCCUCACAGUGCUUCAGACAGGUGAGGGAAGGCCACACGGGAAGCUCAUUUAAACCAGUGUCUUUCUCCUCACUACAUACACAGAACAUUGAAGGCACUGGAGGAGUAGCUGAGACAGCACAGGACUGAUUUUCCUCCCUUCAGCAGAUUCAAAAAGUCCCUCUAUCCUAGGAAGCAGGGAAAAGCUGAUUUUUGCAUUUCCAGUAGAAGAAAUGAGACAGGAAAAUUAGAUCCAUCAGAGGAAGAGAAGCUUGCCAAUGAAGAACCCGUGUCUGCUUGGCAGAUUUUUCCUUUUCUUCUGUUGGAAUGAAAAUUAACAACAGCAACCCAAACCCAAAAAGUGGCUGAGAUAUUCCACAGCAGAUUGGCUGCAGCAGGAGUUGCUUGGGGGCACCCAGCAUGGAUGCUGGAGGUCAGUGGCAAAUCCCCAGGGUGAGUCUUCUGGGCUUUUUUUACACCUUCCUCUUUCUUAUUCAUUGCCUUGGGCAUUCCAAGGCUCAUUUUGACCAGCUGGCAUGCUGGGAUGAGAACCCAAAUAAGUGGUACAGGUUGAAGUGUUCCCGUGUGUUACAGCAACCCGAUGACUCAGGGAACAAAUGUUUCCUUUUUUUUUUUCCUCAGUGAUGAUGCAUUGAGCUGAAGUGACCCCGGGAGAAGCAGAGUGCAGGGCUGAAAGUCGUCUUCCUGGCAGGGCUCAAACAGUUGACUAUUAGAUCUCAGCUGGAAAUUGCAACUUGCAGCAUGGAGAGGGUAAGGAGAAGUUUCCUGAACCACCUCUGGGGAGUAAUUCUUGAAUGGGGAGCCCUUUUCCAGUCUCUGUAAUGGAGUAUUGAACUAGAUCACCACUAGAGAACCCUGCCAACUUCAGCUACUUUGGGAUUCUGAACUAGGAGGAAAGUCUUUUUAAGAGGUAGGUGUCUGCAGCCUUUGUGGCUUGGAAUUUAAUUUUUGUUCUACUCCAUCUUUCCAGUAAUGAAUACAAUGAGAACUAACAACUUUCUCCCACCUUCAGCAUUGCAUAUCCCUGUUGAUGCCUGGAUAAUGAGAUCACAUGAAAAGCCAAAUGAAAGACCCUGUGAAUUCACACUGCUUUGAAUAGAGGGCACAUUGUGGACUUUGGCUCACUUGUGAAACUGUGUGUGAGGUACAAAGUUAUUACACAUUAUGGCACUUGUUUCUAGCUUGUGUGUACCCUGUGAGAUCUGAGAUAUCUGCAUUUUUUGUUUCAGAAAAUUUGACUGGGGAAGCUUGAAGAUACCAUACUAAAAUUGGAUUGUUACCACUUUGCACACUGUGCUUUUCCCUGACGGGGUAUAAGGACACUGUACAUUUGGGGGAGGAGGA